ACGAAGGACGUGACAAGCUGCGAAAAGCUGCGGAGAGAUGCAAAUAAUCGGCGACCCGCAGACAUCCGAAUGGAGAAAUCCGGCUGUGAUGAUGCACAGCCAUCCAUGCCCAAGAGCAUGAGAAGGGAACCGGGCGAACUGAAACAUCUAAGUAACCCGAGGAAAAGAAAUCAAACGAGAUACCCCAAGUAGCGGCGAGCGAACAGGGAAGAAGCCCAAACCGGUGAAGGAAACUUUGCCGGGGUUGAGGACCAUCAGACCCGCGAAGAACCUUAGCCGAAACUGUUGGGAAACAGUGCCGAAGACAGUGAAAGCCUGGUAGGCGAAAAAGAGAAACGCGGAGAUGGCACCAGAGUACCGCGGGACACGAGAAAUCCCGUGGGAAGCAGGGGGGACCACCCUCCAAGGCAAAACACAGAUAUCGACCGAUAGCGCAUAGUACCAUGAGGGAAAGGUGAAAAGCACCCCGGGAGGGGAAUGAAAGAGAACCUGAAACCGUAUGUUUACAAGCAGUCGGAGACCGCUUAAUAAUAAGGUCGACGGCGUGCCUAUUGAAGAAUGAACCGGCGAGUUACGAAGCCUGGCAAGGUUAAGCAGGAAAUGCGGAGCCGAAGCGAAAGCGAGUCUUAAGAGGGCGCAAGUCAGGAAGCGUAGACCCGAAACCACAGUGAUCUACCCAUGUCCAGGUUGAAACACAGGUAAAGAUGUGUGGAGGACCGAACCUAUAUCCGUUGAAAAGGGUUAGGAUGAGGUGUGGGUAGGGGUGAAAUUCCAAUCGAACGUGGAGAUAGCUGGUUCUCCCCGAAAUAGCUUUAGGGCUAGCCUCAGGGAAAAGAUUGCAGGCGGUAGAGCACUGAUCAGGAGAGGGACCUACCCGGUUACCAAACCCAGUCAAACUCCGAAUGGCUGCAAUCAUACCUGGGAGUCAGACUGCGACUAAUAAGGGCCGUAGUCAAAAGGGAAACAGCCCAGACCAUCAGCUAAGGUCCCCAAUGCCGUGCUAAGUGGCGAAGGAUGUGGCAUUUCAUAAACAACCAGGAUGUUGGCUCAGAAGCAGCCACCAUUUAAAGAGUGCGUAAUAGCUCACUGGUCGAGAGACGCUGCGCCGAAAAUGUCCGGGGCUCAAGCACGGAACCGAAGCUAUGGCAUGAUAGCAAUAUCAUGGGUAGGGGAGCGUUCUUAUAAGGAAGAAGCAUGACCGGAAGGACAUGUGGACGAAUAAGAAGUGAGAAUGCCGGUAUGAGUAUCGAAAAGAAAGGUGAGAAUCCUUUCCACCGAAAGCCCGAGGGUUCCUGAGCAACGAUCGUCGACUCAGGGUAAGUCGGGACCUAAGCCGAGGCGGAAAGCGUAGGCGAUGGACAACAGGUUGAAAUUCCUGUACCGGAUCAAGUCGAUCGAGCGAAGGAGCGACGCAGGAGGGCACAUGAUCGCGCGGCUGGAAGAGCGCGUCCAAGUGCGUAUGUUGCCGCAGAGGAAAACCCCUGCAGCUAAAAGCAGAGACAUGAUGGGGAGUUAAAGGAAACUUUGACGAACUCAUGAAUCCCACACUGCCAAGAAAAACUUCUAGCGAGACAAGAUCCGCCCGUACCGUAAACCGACACAGGUAGGCGGGGAGAGAAUCCUAAGGUGCGCGGGAAAACCCUCGUUAAGGAACUCGGCAAAUUGCAUCCGUAACCUAGGGAGAAGGAUGGCCCCCGGUCAGUGAAGAGCAGAAACGCUCAGAGCUAAAAGGGGCGGCAGAAAAGAGGCCCAAGCAACUGUUUACCAAAAACACAGGUGCCUGCGAAAGCGAAAGCUGAAGUAUAGGUGCUGACGCCUGCCCGGUGCCGGAAGGUUAAGGAGAGAAGUUAGCGAAAGCGAAGCAUCGAACUGAAGCCCCGGUGAACGGCGGCCGUAACUAUAACGGUCCUAAGGUAGCGAAAUUCCUUGUCGGGUAAGUUCCGACCCGCAUGAAAGGCGUAAUGAUUUGGGCACUGUCUCAACGAGGGGCCCGGUGAAAUUGAAAUACCUGUGAAGAUGCAGGUUACCCGCGACUGGACAGAAAGACCCCAUGGAGCUUCACUGCAGCUUGAGAUUGAAUCCCGGUGACAGAUGCACAGGAUAGGUGGGAGGCGUCGAAGCAUUGCCCUAGGGCGGUGCGGAGCCGAUGUUGGGAUACCACCCUUCUGUUGCUGAGAUUCUAACGCGAGGAGUAACGACCCUGCGGACCCUCUCAGGCAGGCGGUUUGACUGGGGCGGUCGCCUCCGAAAGAGUAA
This 2256-nucleotide ribosomal RNA is filed under the name human gut metagenome. RNAcentral's name for it is "bacterial LSU rRNA". It matches the Rfam family "Bacterial large subunit ribosomal RNA", at positions 49 to 2300 of the family's 2925-position model. The record is from RNAcentral.